UGCCAGGGCUGGCCCACACCUAGCUGCUGAGAAUUCCUCCCCUCCAGCUAUUUCCUUCUUAUCACUCCUGCCGUUUUGGCAGGCUCUCUCCUCUGGUCUCAGCCAAAGGUGAAGCUGGCUGUGCUCCCACUCUCCCUGGAUGGCGCACUACUAUUUGGAAUUUGGUUCCUCUGAUUGCCCCUUGUGACACCAGCUCUCCAGCAGGCUGAAGAAAAGUUAUGGUUUUGAAGAAUAUCCAGCAUUUUCUCGUUGUUAGACAGGAGUGAUGCUCUCUUGUGGCUUCUACAUCCUGAGUGAGGCAGAAUCCCCCUGUCUCUGGCUCUUGUGGUUAACAGCUUUGGAUUCACCCAGAUCUGGGUUCAAAUUCUGUCUCCAUCAGGUGUCUUAGGUAUCCCACCAAGGAGACCUGAUCUUGAGCCUGGAGCCCCGAACCGAUGCUUGAAUUCCAAGAGGUGACCUGCUGCCGGGGGGCCUGGUGGCAGGCACUGCACUCACACACCAGGGGAUGGAUGCAGACAGAGGGGCAGCACUUGGACCUGGCGGGCGGCGGGACUGACCAUUGGGCCAGGGACAGGCCGGGGCGCCACGAGGCUGUCUGCUGCAGAAUAAAAAUGCCACUAUUCCUCUAAUUGCU
RNAcentral lists this long non-coding RNA (634 nucleotides) under Callithrix jacchus (white-tufted-ear marmoset). RNAcentral describes it as "lncRNA (ENSCJAG00000065826.2)". The record is from RNAcentral. Lineage: Eukaryota; Metazoa; Chordata; Mammalia; Primates; Cebidae.